AGCCGGGUCGUCUAGCGGCCAAGGAUGCGGGGCUUUGGUCCGCUCGGAAGAUACCCCGCGACCGGGGUUCGAAUCCCCGCCCGGCUA
RNAcentral lists this transfer RNA (87 nucleotides) under Thermosphaera aggregans DSM 11486. Its description in RNAcentral is "tRNA-Gln". It matches the Rfam family "tRNA". From Rfam's summary of the family: Transfer RNA (tRNA) molecules are approximately 80 nucleotides in length. Their secondary structure includes four short double-helical elements and three loops (D, anti-codon, and T loops). Further hydrogen bonds mediate the characteristic L-shaped molecular structure. tRNAs have two regions of fundamental functional importance: the anti-codon, which is responsible for specific mRNA codon recognition, and the 3' end, to which the tRNAs corresponding amino acid is attached (by aminoacyl-tRNA synthetases). tRNAs cope with the degeneracy of the genetic code in two manners: having more than one tRNA (with a specific anti-codon) for a particular amino acid; and 'wobble' base-pairing, i.e. permitting non-standard base-pairing at the 3rd anti-codon position. Lineage: Archaea; Thermoproteati; Thermoproteota; Thermoprotei; Desulfurococcales; Desulfurococcaceae. The record is from RNAcentral.